GGUUGAUCCUGCCAGUAGUCAUAUGCUUGUCUCAAAGAUUAAGCCAUGCAUGUCUAAGUAUAUACUGACAUAUACUGUGAAACUGCGAAUGGCUCAUUAAAUCAGUUAUAGUUUAUUUGAUGAUACUUACUACUCGGAUAACCGUAGUAAUUCUAGAGCUAAUACGUGCGCACAUCCCGACCUCUGGAAGGGACGUAUUUAUUAGAUAAAAGGCCAUCCGGGCUUGCCCGAUCAAUGGUGAAUCAUGAUAAUUUAACGAAUCGUAUGGCCUUGUGCCGACGAUGUUUCAUUC
This 292-nucleotide ribosomal RNA is filed under the name uncultured eukaryote. RNAcentral describes it as "partial 18S ribosomal RNA". It matches the Rfam family "Eukaryotic small subunit ribosomal RNA", at positions 6 to 300 of the family's 1831-position model. The record is from RNAcentral.